This is a non-coding RNA of Chelonoidis abingdonii (Abingdon island giant tortoise), 268 nucleotides long. The record is from RefSeq and is a predicted model, not a curated record. Lineage: Eukaryota; Metazoa; Chordata; Testudines; Testudinidae.
UUGCCAGCAUCUUGCCAGCCACGGCUGUACUCUGCCCUGGGCCACACCCGCUCCUUCCGCCUGGAGAAGCGGCAGCGGCGGCUGGACAGGAAACGGGCAGCCAGUGUCAGCGGAUGCCCAGGGUGGGAGCUGCAGCUGCCCAGAGAGGAGGCUGCUGCCCAGGAGCGGGUAGCGGAGCUGAGCUCCAAGUGCCAGUUGGAUGGUGGCAGUGACACGAACGGGGAGGGAGACGCUGCUGCCGCUACCCCAGCCACCACCUUACUCAUCC